CAGUAGUCACGAGUUUGACUCCUGGCUACAGAACGAACGCUGGCGGCAUGCCUAACACAUGCAAGUCGAACGAGACCUUCGGGUCUAGUGGCGCACGGGUGCGUAACACGUGGGAAUUUGCCUCGGGGUAUGGAAUAACUCAGGGAAACUUGAGCUAAUACCAUAUAAUGUCUCCGGACCAAAGAUUUAUCGCCCUGAGAUAAGCCCGCGUAGGAUUAGCUAGUUGGUGGGGUAAAGGCUCACCAAGGCGACGAUCCUUAGCUGGUCUGAGAGGAUGAUCAGCCACACUGGGACUGAGACACGGCUCAGACUCCUACGGGAGGCAGCAGUGGGGAAUAUUGGACAAUGGGCGAAAGCCUGAUCCAGCAAUGCCGCGUGAGUGAUGAAGGCCUUCGGGUUGUAAAGCUCUUUUACUCGGGACGAUAAUGACGGUACCGAGAGAAUAAGCCCCGGCUAACUCCGUG
This 464-nucleotide ribosomal RNA is filed under the name uncultured bacterium. RNAcentral's name for it is "bacterial SSU rRNA". It matches the Rfam family "Bacterial small subunit ribosomal RNA", at positions 1 to 507 of the family's 1533-position model. The record is from RNAcentral.